Molecule: transfer RNA, 72 nt
Organism: Ipomoea nil (Japanese morning glory)
Lineage: Eukaryota; Viridiplantae; Streptophyta; Magnoliopsida; Solanales; Convolvulaceae
Rfam family: tRNA
About the family: Transfer RNA (tRNA) molecules are approximately 80 nucleotides in length.
Source: Rfam
UCCGUUGUCGUCCAGCGAUUAGGAUAUUUGGCUUUCACCCAGGAGACCGGAGUUCAAUUCCCGGCAACGGAA